CACUCUAAGGUGACUGCCGGUGACAAACCGGAGGAAGGUGGGGAUGACGUCAAAUCAUCAUGCCCCUUAUGACCUGGGCUACACACGUGCUACAAUGGACAGAACAAAGGGCUGCGAGACCGCAAGGAUUAGCCAAUCCCAUAAAUCUGUUCUCAGUUCGGAUCGCAGUCUGCAACUCGACUGCGUGAAGCUGGAAUCGCUAGUAAUCGCGGAUCAGCAUGCCGCGGUGAAUACGUUCCCGGGCCUUGUACACAC
This 255-nucleotide ribosomal RNA is filed under the name Bacillus safensis. Its description in RNAcentral is "partial 16S ribosomal RNA". It matches the Rfam family "Bacterial small subunit ribosomal RNA", at positions 1136 to 1390 of the family's 1533-position model. The record is from RNAcentral. Lineage: Bacteria; Bacillati; Bacillota; Bacilli; Caryophanales; Bacillaceae.